This 468-nucleotide ribosomal RNA is filed under the name uncultured bacterium. RNAcentral describes it as "partial 16S ribosomal RNA". It matches the Rfam family "Bacterial small subunit ribosomal RNA", at positions 28 to 507 of the family's 1533-position model. The record is from RNAcentral.
GACGAACGCUGGCGGCGUGCUUAACACAUGCAAGUCGAACGGAAAGGCCCUGCUUUUGUGGGGUGCUCGAGUGACGAACGGGUGAGUAACACGUGAGUAACCUGCCCUUGACUUUGGGAUAACUUCAGGAAACUGGGGCUAAUACCGGAUAGGAGCUCCUGCUGCAUGGUGGGGGUUGGAAAGUUUCGGCGGUUGGGGAUGGACUCGCGGCUUAUCAGCUUGUUGGUGGGGUAGUGGCUUACCAAGGCUUUGACGGGUAGCCGGCCUGAGAGGGUGACCGGCCACAUUGGGACUGAGAUACGGCCCAGACUCCUACGGGAGGCAGCAGUGGGGAAUAUUGCACAAGGGGCGGAAGCCUGAUGCAGCAACGCCGCGUGCGGGAUGACGGCCUUCGGGUUGUAAACCGCUUUCGCCUGUGACGAAGCGUGAGUGACGGUAAUGGGUAAAGAAGCACCGGCUAACUACGUG